Molecule: long non-coding RNA, 1397 nt
Organism: Gasterosteus aculeatus aculeatus (three-spined stickleback)
Lineage: Eukaryota; Metazoa; Chordata; Actinopteri; Perciformes; Gasterosteidae
Source: Ensembl
AAGUCAUGUUCUGUAUGGUCUGAUUCCUAAACAUUAUUUGUGUGUAAAAGUUGUGGCAGAGUUUGUGAUGUUCGAACAGGGUGAGGUAGUAGGUUGUGUGGUUUCGGGGUAGUGAUUUUGCCCGAUCAGAAGAUAACUAUACAACAUACUGCCUUCCCUGAAGGGCAGCAAUACUUCACCGUACAGACAACAGAACCUGGAAGGAGCUCAGCCAAUCACAGCGUCUCAAGUCACCAGCAGAAAUGUUUGGAAACAUCUCUAAAAACUAAAAAACAGACCUGACCACCUUCGUGGGAUCCGGGGGUCCGCCCUGAGCAGAGCAGAUGGACAGAGGAUCUGUGGCCUAAUCUCACCUCCUGCACUGCAGCAUGAUUCAUAUGGCAACAGAUGACGGGUGCAGUAGCUCUCUGGCCAACGGCACACACACACACACACACACACACACACACACACACACACACACACACUGAUGACGAGGUGAAUACCAGCCGGUAUCCGACCAGCUCGCCCUCAGGUGGGCCUUACUGUCUGCUGCUGCAGCUCCGUAUCUCGUAUCAAGGUCACUCACGGUGAGACCCCUCGAUCUUCACCACCAGUGAUCAACUGUGUGUCAAAGUGAACGUCUUAACAUGCAACAAUAAAUACGAUUCCACUGUGCACUGUCUCCCAGUCUUUGGGUACGCAGACAAGUAUUAGUAUUAUUACACCACACAUGCUGAACCGGUGAGAAGGGUUAUAUCACAGAACAUCAGUGGAGCAGCAAAAGAAGAAUACCAAUGUACUGUAUCCUCUCUGUGUGCAACACUGUUGGAUGUGUGUGUGUGUGUGUGUGUGUGUGUGUGGGCUGCACUCACUGUAGCCGUCCCCUGCCAGCCACCAUAUUGAAUUGGUUUGAGCCUUGGCCCUGGUGAUAGUGCUGAAUACUAAAGCCGGGUGGGACAAUGGCUCUGUGUGCAUCCCGUCUCUGGGGUUGCACCACCCGUCAUCUCCUCCCGCUUCACCGACAACGCUGCGACGACCAUCUGGUACAUUCUUCUCCUGUGAGAAAAGGAACUAAUGAAAAGAUCUCAAGAGUCCAUCGGAAACAUUUCAGUCCAGAAUUCAAUAAUAUACUAUUAUAUACUAUUCUAUGCUUUUGCUGCCCUUCAUAUGAUGUCAUGGCUGUAUAAAAGUGUUAUCGAUCAAAUGUAAGUGGAGCGGGUUGAAGGCUCUGAGUGGGCGGGACCCUCGAAUAAACCACUCAGCAGAGUGCAUUUGCUGGAAGGAAGAAAAGCUAUUCCUGUGUCUAUGUAGAAAGAGCCAGCUUAAUCUGUGUAAUGGUGAUUAAAAAAAAUAUAUAUAUUAUUCCGGCUGAAAUGUAGGGCAUGGAAAUAAAAUGAUGCGUCUCAUUUGCUCAA